This 284-nucleotide ribosomal RNA is filed under the name Klebsiella aerogenes. RNAcentral's name for it is "partial 23S ribosomal RNA". It matches the Rfam family "Bacterial large subunit ribosomal RNA", at positions 911 to 1193 of the family's 2925-position model. The record is from RNAcentral. Lineage: Bacteria; Pseudomonadati; Pseudomonadota; Gammaproteobacteria; Enterobacterales; Enterobacteriaceae.
UGUUUCGGCUAGGGGGUCAUCCCGACUUACCAACCCGAUGCAAACUACGAAUACCGAAGAAUGUUAUCACGGGAGACACACGGCGGGUGCUAACGUCCGUCGUGAAGAGGGAAACAACCCAGACCGCCAGCUAAGGUCCCAAAGUCACAGUUAAGUGGGAAACGAUGUGGGAAGGCACAGACAGCCAGGAUGUUGGCUUAGAAGCAGCCAUCAUUUAAAGAAAGCGUAAUAGCUCACUGGUCGAGUCGGCCUGCGCGGAAGAUGUAACGGGGCUAAACUGUGCA